CCUACGGGAGGCAGCAGUGGGGAAUCUUGCACAAUGGGCGAAACCCUGAUGCAGCGACGCCGCGUGAGUGAAGAAGGAAUUCGUUAUGUAAAGCUCUAUCAGCAGAGAAGAAAAUGACGGUACCUAAGUAAGAAGCCCCGGCUAACUACGUGCCAGCAACCGCGGUAAUACGUAGGGGGCAAGUGUGAUCCGGAUUUACUGGGUGUAAAGGGAGCGUAGACGGUGGUGCAAGUCUGGAGUGAAAGCCGGGGGCUCAACCCCCGGACGGCACUGGAAACUGGACGGCUGGAGUGCAGGAGAGGUAAGUGGAAUUCCUAGUGUAGCGGUGAAAUGCGUAGAUAUUAGGAGGAACACCAGUGGCGAAGGCGGCUUUCUGGACUGUAACUGACGUUGAGGCUCGAAAGCGUGGGGAGCAAACAGGAUUAGAUACCCCAGUAGUC
This 440-nucleotide ribosomal RNA is filed under the name uncultured bacterium. RNAcentral describes it as "partial 16S ribosomal RNA". It matches the Rfam family "Bacterial small subunit ribosomal RNA", at positions 338 to 795 of the family's 1533-position model. The record is from RNAcentral.